AUUGAUAAAUAUUUUAUUACAUGGAAGAUAAGUAUGCUUUUCAACUAGCUUGAUAAUUUGUAAGAAAAUAUUUUGAUAUUUUUUAAUGAGGGAAACAUUCUUCCACAAAUAAGAAAUAAACACAUGACUAUACCUAUGAGGCAUGUUUUUUUAAGGAAGGUCCAUUUGAACAUAAGUACACAAUGAUAGGUUAUUUCAAAAAAGUAAAUUUAUUUUCAGAAAGUACAUACUUCACUAUAUUUUUUGACAUAGUUGCCAAGUUUGUUCAAACACAUAUCAUACCUCUCAACCAAUUUUAAAAUACCCUCUUCAUAAAAACUUGUCACCUGCUCCAAUAACCAUGAGUUCACUGCCUUUUCCACGUCGUCAUCAUCAUUGAAACGGCUGCCACUGAGGUGUUGUUUGAGGUGGAGGAACAGAUGGUAAUCACUCGGCGCAAGAUCAGGACUGUAGGGUGGGUGGUCUAAAUCUUCCCAGCCGAAACUGUCCAAUAAAUCACGGGUCUGACCUGCAGUGUGAGAUCUUGCAUUGUCAUGGAGAAGGACACUUCCCUUUCUCAGCAUGCCACAUCUUUUGUUUUGAAUCACUCUGUGCAGCUUUUUCAGGGUUUGGCAGUAUGCUUCUGCAUUGAUAGUGGUUCCUCAUUGCAUGAAAUUGACCAACAAAACACCAUGCCUAUCCCAAAACACUGACUCCAUGAUUUUGCACUGGGACAGAGCCUGUUUGGCCUUCACCUUUACAGUGUGUGUGUGUGUGUGUGUGUGUGUGUGUGUGUGUGUCUCCAUUCCAUGCUCUGUUGCUUCGAUUUGGGCAUGAUAAUCGAAACCCAUGUUUCAUCUCCAGCUAUGACCUGACUCAAGAAGCCGUCACCUUCUUCAUGAUAAUGAGUCAAGAACUUCAUCACACACUCAAAUCUUUGGUUUUUGUGGUCCUCCGUUAGGAGCACAGUUUCCUAAACUUUAGGUGUUCAGAAACAGUGUUGUAAAACACUGAUCUCAACACAUUAGGAAAUUCAUUUGAGAUAUCUGUUAUUGUGAGGCACCUGUCCUCAUGAAUCCUCAUUUCAACUGAGGCCACCAAAUCAUUUGUAAUCAAAGAAGGGCGACUGAGGCGGACUUCAUCAUGGACGUUGCCACGGUCAUCUUUGAAUUCUUGUACCCACUUACGCACUUUGCUUUCACUCAUAAUAGGAUCAUCGUACACUUCGCAAAUCCGUCGAUGAAUUUCUGCAGCAGACAGGUUUCUAGAUGACAAAAACCAUAUCACUGAGCAAACCUCACACCCGGUGAGCGAGUUGAUAGUCUUAUACAUUUU
This is a long non-coding RNA of Schistocerca gregaria, 1314 nucleotides long. RefSeq lists it as uncharacterized. Lineage: Eukaryota; Metazoa; Arthropoda; Insecta; Orthoptera; Acrididae. The record is from RefSeq and is a predicted model, not a curated record. The transcript is spliced from 2 exons.